CAGCUGAUGGAACAGGGCUCAAAUAAACCUGAUUUUAAGGUACAUGUUAUCAUGAAGAGCUAGCUGUGCUAGCAGGCUUGCCUGUCCUACCAGAGUUUAAACAGUCCCACCAAAAUCAACCAGCAAGAACCACAGUGGAAACCAAAUCUGGCCUGUAGUUCAUCAGAGAGGAGGAUCUCCCCGCCAUCAUCUCACCUCUGUCUGAGGCUCCUCAGAGCACAGCGGACUGAAGAUAUGUUUUAGAUGGUUUUUAUUAUCCUCUAAAAUAGAGAAGCUAAUUCAAUACAAUUAAAAGCUAUCUACUGUCAUUCACGUUACACAUUUCAUUUAAAUUCUUCAGAUUAAGUUUGAAUUACAGUAUGUUGUAGUCUUAGAUUUUUUUUUAAUUAUUCUUUCACCGCCAGCAGUAAAGCUCAGAACAGUGACUUGUAAAUUUUCAUUGCUGUUUUUCUCCAUCUUUGUCAUAGUCAUUGUCAUCAGUUGCUGACACCCAGGCCUCCUGACUGUCCAAGACAAAAGGUCUGAGGUGAUUUGCUCCCAGCAGCUCUUGGGAUGCUGAGCAUCAAGGGUUAGGCGCUUGUGCCUCCACAUCCAAACGUUGCAGCAUGGCUUGAAGCCUUCACCUGAAGCUUCUACAACUUAACUCUGCUGUAUCAAGAGCAAGCUUCUAUCACACUGUAAUCAAACAAGGUUUUUAGUGUGAAUUAGCCCCACCUGUGACAGGCACCAAGAAAACAAACUUCAUCAGCCGAAAAAGGUGGAACGUCCAUGACAGGAAGAACAGCCUAGCAAGUUCUCACAUAUCCCCCCUCUUAAGACUAUCAAUUGACUCUAAGGACUAUGCGUGAGUUGUAUCCAAAUAUUUGGACUUUUGUGUACAUCGUUGGUUAUUGUGCUUUUACAACAUUUGCUUAUAUCUUUAGUAGUAGUUCCUUUAUUUUUUAACAUGUCAAUUCAGAUUUGUGGUUGAUAUUACUCAUAACUGCUGACAGUUAUCAAAGUCAGCCAGCUGCCACUCAGCCUCCAAUUGUUUUUCUGUACCAAAUAUUUGGAAAAGGCAACAGCUGAUGCAUUGUAGGUGAGAAUUUUCCCCACUAAAAUUAAAAAUUGUACAUUAAAAUAUAAUGCUACAGUUGAAUAUGUGGAUGGUUGAACUUAAAUUAAGUUACAGUAAUAAUUCAGAUUUCCUUUUUUUUUUUUUUUUACCUCACUCAUGGUGUUUUUUAAAUUCAUCUAUAAUUCUCCUGACAAUAAAUAAGUGACUGUAGUUCCUUGCACCAAUAGAGUAACUUUGU
Long non-coding RNA from Cheilinus undulatus (humphead wrasse), 1295 nucleotides. RefSeq lists it as uncharacterized. NCBI's taxonomy places the organism in Eukaryota, Metazoa, Chordata, Actinopteri, Labriformes, Labridae. The record is from RefSeq and is a predicted model, not a curated record. The transcript has 4 exons.